GGGCCCGUGGUGUAGCCUGGUUAACACGUCUCCCUGUCACGGAGAAGAUCACCGGUUCGAAUCCGGCCGGGCCCGCCA
RNAcentral lists this transfer RNA (78 nucleotides) under Patescibacteria group bacterium. RNAcentral describes it as "tRNA-Asp". It matches the Rfam family "tRNA". From Rfam's summary of the family: Transfer RNA (tRNA) molecules are approximately 80 nucleotides in length. Their secondary structure includes four short double-helical elements and three loops (D, anti-codon, and T loops). Further hydrogen bonds mediate the characteristic L-shaped molecular structure. tRNAs have two regions of fundamental functional importance: the anti-codon, which is responsible for specific mRNA codon recognition, and the 3' end, to which the tRNAs corresponding amino acid is attached (by aminoacyl-tRNA synthetases). tRNAs cope with the degeneracy of the genetic code in two manners: having more than one tRNA (with a specific anti-codon) for a particular amino acid; and 'wobble' base-pairing, i.e. permitting non-standard base-pairing at the 3rd anti-codon position. The record is from RNAcentral.